AGAGGUACAGGCAUCUAAAGAAAAGGAAUUCUUAAUGUGAUUGACGGCUUUGGAAAGAAGGUAAGGCAUGGUCCAGCUGGAGCUGCGAAACCUGAGUAUGAUAUAGAAACCUACUUCUUUUUUCUUAUCACUUAGCAUAAGGCUUGAAAGAAGAAUAAGAGUGAAUAGGCAGGGGAGGGGUAGUGAUGAAAGUGAGUGAAGUUUAGCCUAUAGGGGACGAAUGGAUAACUAUAAUAUCUAGAAAGACUGAGCCUUAGCAUGCAGAGAAGAAGGGGUAAGCGAUUUCAUCACAAGAAAGCUCUAUGCUAGGCUUUCCUGGAAUCGCU
This 326-nucleotide long non-coding RNA is filed under the name Glycine max (soybean). RNAcentral's name for it is "long non-coding RNA (GMAX_LNC004576)". Lineage: Eukaryota; Viridiplantae; Streptophyta; Magnoliopsida; Fabales; Fabaceae. The record is from RNAcentral.